This 377-nucleotide unclassified non-coding RNA is filed under the name plant metagenome. RNAcentral's name for it is "partial contains 5.8S ribosomal RNA, internal transcribed spacer 2, and large subunit ribosomal RNA". The stretch from base 1 to 104 matches the Rfam family "5.8S ribosomal RNA", at positions 51 to 154 of the family's 154-position model. The record is from RNAcentral.
AAAUGCGAUAAGUAAUGUGAAUUGCAGAAUUCAGUGAAUCAUCGAAUCUUUGAACGCACCUUGCGCUCCUUGGUAUUCCUUGGAGCAUGCCUGUUUGAGUAUCAUGAAAUCUUCAAAGUAAAUCUUUUGUUAACUCAAUUGGUUUCUACUUUGGUAUUGGAGGUCUUUGCAGUUUCACACCUGCUCCUCUUUGUUCAUUAGCUGGAUCUCAGUGUUAUGCUUGGUUCCACUCGGCGUGAUAAGUUAUCUAUCGCUGAGGACACUGUAAAAGGUGGCCAAGGUAAAUGCAGAUGAACCGCUUCUAAUAGUCCAUUGACUUGGACAAUACUUUUAUGAUCUGAUCUCAAAUCAGGUAGGACUACCCGCUGAACCUAAGC